AAGUGUUAAUUAAAUUUACCAGGGUACUAUUAGUUAAGAUCUUUAAACCCAAAGAAUUUGGCGGUAUCUCAUUCCAUUCAGAGGAACCUACCCCGUAAUUGAUAGUGCACGAUUAACUUUACUUAAUUUAUUUGUUUGUAUAUCUCCGUUAUCAGAAAAUCUUUUUAGAGUUAUAAUUUUCUUAAUUUAUGAUUAUAAAAUAUUUCAGGUCAAGGUGCAGCUUAUGAUUAAGAGGAGGUGGGUUACAAUAGGUUUUUGUUUAUAAUGGAUUUAAUAGUGAAAUACUAUUAAUGAAGGUGGAUUUGAUAGUAAUUUGAUUUACUUAGUUUAAUUGAUAUAGGCUCUGAGGU
RNAcentral lists this ribosomal RNA (350 nucleotides) under Propedies sp. n. 2 FP-2010. RNAcentral describes it as "Propedies n. sp. 2 FP-2010 partial 12S ribosomal RNA". Lineage: Eukaryota; Metazoa; Arthropoda; Insecta; Orthoptera; Acrididae. The record is from RNAcentral.